AUUGAACGCUGGCGGCAUGCCUUACACAUGCAAGUCGAACGGCAUCGCGGGAAAGCUUGCUUUCCUGGCGGCGAGUGGCGAACGGGUGAGUAACACAUCGGAACGUACCGGCUAGUGGGGGAUAACCCGUCGAAAGACGGGCUAAUACCGCAUACGCUCUUCGGAGGAAAGCAGGGGACCUUUGGGCCUUGCGCUAGCCGAGCGGCCGAUGUCCGAUUAGCUAGUUGGUGGGGUAAAGGCCUACCAAGGCGACGAUCGGUAGCGGGUCUGAGAGGACGAUCCGCCACACUGGGACGGAGACACGGCCCAGACUCCUACGGGAGGCAGCAGUGGGGAAUCUUGGACAAUGGGGGCAACCCUGAUCCAGCAAUGCCGCGUGGGUGAAGAAGGCCUUCGGGUUGUAAAGCCCUUUCGGCAGGGAAGAAAUCGGCGGGGCGAAUAACCCUGCUGGAUGACGGUACCUGCAGAAGAAGCACCGGCUAACUACGUG
RNAcentral lists this ribosomal RNA (490 nucleotides) under uncultured bacterium. Its description in RNAcentral is "partial 16S ribosomal RNA". It matches the Rfam family "Bacterial small subunit ribosomal RNA", at positions 29 to 507 of the family's 1533-position model. The record is from RNAcentral.